RNAcentral lists this ribosomal RNA (243 nucleotides) under uncultured bacterium. RNAcentral's name for it is "partial 16S ribosomal RNA". It matches the Rfam family "Bacterial small subunit ribosomal RNA", at positions 88 to 334 of the family's 1533-position model. The record is from RNAcentral.
CGGAUCAGUGGCGAACGGGUGAGUAACACUGGGCAACCUGCCCCUAGCUCUGGGAUAACCCCGGGAAACCGGGGCUAAUACCGGAUAUGAGAUCGGAAGGCAUCUUCUGAUCUGGAAAGUUUUUCGGCUAGGGAUGGGCCCGCGGCCUAUCAGCUUGUUGGUGAGGUAACGGCCCACCAAGGCGACGACGGGUAGCCGGCCUGAGAGGGCGACCGGCCACACUGGGACUGAGACACGGCCCAG